Molecule: long non-coding RNA, 270 nt
Organism: Culex quinquefasciatus (southern house mosquito)
Lineage: Eukaryota; Metazoa; Arthropoda; Insecta; Diptera; Culicidae
Exons: 2
Source: RefSeq, a predicted model, not a curated record
AGUGCCACGCAAGACUGCAAUUAUCUGCAUUGCAUCGUUUGAAGCCAUCCACCUUUAUCGAUUGAAUUUUCUGAAUAUCGUUGAAUGUUUAUUAAAGAGCCAACAUGAAAUGCAAUUGCUGCUUUGCCGACCAUCCGGAAUGGAAAAUCCUGUCUGGAUCUGCAUGUUUGACCGGAUUAGGGAAAAAAUCAGGAACAUUGCCGAGGAAGCACUGUCAAUCGUGGCUCAAAGAACGAUCGUAAAAUCUAUGUGAGUUUUAUAUUAAAUAUU